AAGUCGUAACAAGGUUUCCGUAGGUGAACCUGCGGAAGGAUCAUUACCGAGUGAGGGCCCUCUGGGUCCAACCUCCACCCGUGUUUAUUUACCUUGUUGCUUCGGCGGCCCGCCGUAUGGCCGCCGGGGCUUCUGCCCCGGCCGCGCCCGCCGAAGACACCUCGAACUCUGUCUGAAGAUUGUAGUCUGAGUAUAAAUAUAAAUUAUUUAAAACUUUCAACAACGGAUCUCUUGGUUCCGGCAUCGAUGAAGAACGCAGCGAAAUGCGAUACGUAAUGUGAAUUGCAGAAUUCAGUGAAUCAUCGAGUCUUUGAACGCACAUUGCGCCCUCUGGUAUUCCGGAGGGCAUGCCUGUCCGAGCGUCAUUGCUGCCUCAAGCACGGCUUGUGUGUUGGCCCCGUCCUCCGAUCCCGGGGACGGCCCGAAAGGCAGCGGCGGCACCGAGUCCGGUCCUCGAGCGUAUGGGGCUUUGUCACCCGCUCUGUAGGCCCGGCCGGCGCUUGCCGAUCAACCAAACUUUUUCCAGGUUGACCUCGGAUCAGGUAGGGAUACCCGCUGAACUUAA
This 565-nucleotide ribosomal RNA is filed under the name uncultured fungus. Its description in RNAcentral is "eukaryotic LSU rRNA". The stretch from base 212 to 365 matches the Rfam family "5.8S ribosomal RNA". The record is from RNAcentral. Lineage: Eukaryota; Fungi.